GGCAGGGGCACAGCUGGUGUGCAAAGAGGUGGGAGACGGGCUGGAAUGGCCUUGGAAGCUACAGUCAGAUGGCUGCUGGGUGGAGGAUGAAAAGGGAAAGAGAGGAGCCCAUUCAGAGGCCACCGUGUCACCCAGGUCUAUUCCCCAACCAGCUGGUGCUUCACGAGGGCAGAUGCUAUUUUUACAUCUUUGUGUUUCCACACAAAAGCCAAUUUGUUCCGAACAUAGUCAGUGAGCACCAACGGUGCUCCUUGAGCACUGCGCUCGGUCUUGAUCUAUGGCUGAGCCCACACUUCCGGUGGCCCUGACUGCAAAUGAAGCUCUGGGCACGCUCUGCCACCCAUCUGCCCUGUGACUUCCGGCGCUCACUGAUGGCAGCGAUGAACUGGCGGAAGUGCGAGAAGGGGAAGAGGGGCUCCGGCAGCUCUCGAAAGAAGAGCUUCAGGGCUCCGGUGAUCACGUGCACGUCCUCCCAGCGCCCGUCGUCCAGGUCCAGGCGCUCAUCUGCGGCAAAGGGGGGAAAGGGGGUGGGAAGAGGUGGUCAGCGCCCCCUUGGUGCCUUCAGGCCCUGGGCUUAGCGGCGGGAGCCGGGCCUCACCGUGGUCCACCUUAUAGCGCAGCUUCUGGAUGGUGGCCAGGUUUCCACUGAUGCGGUACAGGCCGUCGAUGUCCAGCCCUGGGGCAGAGGGAGGCGCUGACCUCGGGCUCGGUGGGGGUGGGUCCAAAGCUCCCGCGGAGAUUCCCACUCAGGGGCUCCCGUUCUCCCGCACCCCCACCGCCGCCCCCGCGCCCACCCGGGGAGGUGUCCAGGCGCCGCGCGUACCCCGAGCCUCCACCGUGCGGAUGCACUGCUGCACGAAGCGCGGCACGGAGCUCCUCUCGCGCUCACACAGCGCGGCCAGCGGGCAGCCGAACACCUGGUCUGGGGGAGAGGCUGGUCAGCGCCGCCCCGCCCCGGGCCCCCGGCGCCGCGCUCCGGCUCCCUCCGAUACCUUUGAUGUAGCCCUUCUCCCGCAGCGACUGCAGCGUGGGCCGCUUCAGCAGGAACUUGCGGAGCCUGUGCCGGACCUUGCUCAGGUCGCCCUCCGCGGCGGCUGCGCCUGGGCCAGGGCAAUGCGGGACUGAGUCACUCGCCCGCGCCGGGUCAACCCCCGGGUGCCCC
Canis lupus familiaris (dog) is the source of this 1162-nucleotide long non-coding RNA. RefSeq lists it as uncharacterized. NCBI's taxonomy places the organism in Eukaryota, Metazoa, Chordata, Mammalia, Carnivora, Canidae. The record is from RefSeq and is a predicted model, not a curated record. The transcript is spliced from 3 exons.